Molecule: ribosomal RNA, 136 nt
Filed under: Proteus mirabilis
Lineage: Bacteria; Pseudomonadati; Pseudomonadota; Gammaproteobacteria; Enterobacterales; Morganellaceae
Description: partial 23S ribosomal RNA
Rfam family: Bacterial large subunit ribosomal RNA (bases 1-116)
Source: RNAcentral
CUGUCGCUUUAAGUGACCUAAAGGAACGUUUAAGACUAAGACGUUGAUAGGCUGGGUGUGUAAGCGUAGCGAUACGUUGAGCUAACCAGUACUAAUGAACCGUGAGGCUUAACCUGACAACACCGAAAGUGUUUUG